GACGAACGCUGGCGGCGUGCUUAACACAUGCAAGUCGAGCGGUAAGGCCCUUUCGGGGGUACACGAGCGGCGAACGGGUGAGUAACACGUGGGUGACCUGCCCUCAGCUCUGGGAUAAGCCUGGGAAACCGGGUCUAUACUGGAUAUGACUCCAUGACGCAUGUUGUGGGGUGGAAAGCCUUGUGCGGCUGAGGAUGGGCCCGCGGCCUAUCAGCUUGUUGGUGGGGUGANGGCCUACCAAGGCGACGACGGGUAGCCGGCCUGAGAGGCGACCGGCCACACUGGGACUGAGACACGGCCCAGACUCCUACGGGAGGCAGCAGUGGGGAAUCUUGCGCAAUGGGCGAAAGCCUGACGCAGCGACGCCGCGU
Molecule: ribosomal RNA, 371 nt
Filed under: uncultured bacterium
Lineage: Bacteria
Description: bacterial SSU rRNA
Rfam family: Bacterial small subunit ribosomal RNA
Source: RNAcentral